This 290-nucleotide ribosomal RNA is filed under the name uncultured bacterium. RNAcentral describes it as "partial 16S ribosomal RNA". It matches the Rfam family "Bacterial small subunit ribosomal RNA", at positions 333 to 615 of the family's 1533-position model. The record is from RNAcentral.
AAAUGCCUACGGGGGGCAGCAGUAGGGAAUCUUCCACAAUGGGCGAAAGCCUGAUGGAGCAACGCCGCGUGGGUGAAGAAGGUCUUCGGAUCGUAAAACCCUGUUGUUAGAGAAGAAAGUACGUGAGAGUAACUGUUCACGUUUCGACGGUAUCUAACCAGAAAGCCACGGCUAACUACGUGCCAGCAGCCGCGGUAAUACGUAGGUGGCAAGCGUUAUCCGGAUUUAUUGGGCGUAAAGGGAACGCAGGCGGUGUUUUAAGUCUGAUGUGAAAGCCUUGGGCUUAACGG